UACGAAGGGGGCGAGCGUUGUUCGGAUUUACUGGGCGUAAAGGGCGCGCAGGCGGCUUAUUUUGUCAGGCGUGAAAGCCCCGGGCUUAACCUGGGAACUGCGUUUGAUACGGAUGGGCUAGAGUUCGGGAGAGGAGAGUGGAAUUCCCAGUGUAGAGGUGAAAUUCGUAGAUAUUGGGAAGAACACCGGUGGCGAAGGCGGCUCUCUGGACCGAUACUGACGCUGAGGCGCGAAAGCUAGGGGAGCGAACAGG
RNAcentral lists this ribosomal RNA (253 nucleotides) under uncultured bacterium. RNAcentral describes it as "partial 16S ribosomal RNA". It matches the Rfam family "Bacterial small subunit ribosomal RNA", at positions 524 to 776 of the family's 1533-position model. The record is from RNAcentral.